RNAcentral lists this ribosomal RNA (62 nucleotides) under uncultured organism. RNAcentral's name for it is "partial 16S ribosomal RNA". The record is from RNAcentral.
UGGGCUUGACAUGUCCGGAGGUCUGCAGAGAUGCGGGAGUGCCCUUCGGGGAAUCGGAACAC